AAAGUCGUAACAAGGUUUCCGUAGGUGAACCUGCGGAAGGAUCAUUACCAUAUGUAUCCAUAUAAACACCUGUGAACUUACUUGUUUCUAUCCGUUCGUUGUUGGGUGGGCGUUGCAUUGCGCGUUUGUGGAGCUCUUGAGUGGUGGUAGCUCCCGUCGCAUUGUACUCAUCCUUCGUUGGAUGACCUGCUUGACUCGAAUGUGUAUUCCACUGCUCAUUCAUUAUCAAAUUAUUAACACCUUGUACCCAUUGUGAACUGAACAUAACGCGCAGCUUUCGCAGUUGUAGCAGCUCGAAAUGGAGAGGGCGCGUGACUUAAGUUACGCCUCUCACCGUAUGUGUAGCAGCCGCAGCAGCAGUAGCAGUGUCGUAAAUGUACGAAACGUGCGAACAACUCUUAACAACGGAUAUCUUGGUUCUC
RNAcentral lists this unclassified non-coding RNA (422 nucleotides) under Basidiomycota sp. RNAcentral describes it as "partial contains small subunit ribosomal RNA, internal transcribed spacer 1, and 5.8S ribosomal RNA". The stretch from base 1 to 47 matches the Rfam family "Eukaryotic small subunit ribosomal RNA", at positions 1785 to 1831 of the family's 1831-position model. Lineage: Eukaryota; Fungi; Basidiomycota. The record is from RNAcentral.